AGGGCACCACCAGGAGUGGAGCCUGCGGCUUAAUUUGACUCAACACGGGGAAACUUACCCGGCCUGGACACUGGAAGGAUUGACAGAUUGAGAGCUCUUUCUUGAUUCAGUGGGUGGUGGUGCAUGGCCGUUCUUAGUUGGUGGAGCGAUUUGUCUGGUUAAUUCCGAUAACGAACGAGACUCUAGCCUAUUAAAUAGGCUCCCGGCUUUUAAACGCCGGGAGGACUUCUUAGAGGGACAGGUGGCGGUUCAGCCGCACGAAAGAGAGCAAUAGCAGGUCUGUGAUGCCCUUUGUUGUCCGGGGCCGCACGCGCGCUACACUGAAGAGAUCAGCGUGCUUUAUGUUCCUGCUCCGACCGGAGUGGGGAACCCAGUGAACCUUCUUCGUGAUUGGGAUAGAAGAUUGUAAUUAUUCUUCUUGAACGAGGAAUUCCCAGUAAAUGCGAGUCAUAAGCUCGCGUUGAUUACGUCCCUGCCCUUUGUACACACCGCCCGUCGCUACUACCGAUUGAACGAUUU
This 519-nucleotide ribosomal RNA is filed under the name uncultured eukaryote. RNAcentral's name for it is "SSU rRNA". It matches the Rfam family "Eukaryotic small subunit ribosomal RNA", at positions 1161 to 1699 of the family's 1831-position model. The record is from RNAcentral.